AUUGCUUCGGUUGAAAUUGGACAAAUCAUGCGAAGGAUAUAACGAGCAAUUUUAUAAAAUAAAUUUGUCGUAAUCUUUUACGGUUGCGAAGGAGUUGUGGACACAAGGAAAACAGUGUUUGGGGAGAUAACUCCUACAAAGAAAAGUAUUCGGUUACACAGGGUAAAUUUCAAAAGCGCAUAAACUGUUCGAUAUCAUAUACCAAAUAC
RNAcentral lists this long non-coding RNA (209 nucleotides) under Mytilus galloprovincialis (Mediterranean mussel). Lineage: Eukaryota; Metazoa; Mollusca; Bivalvia; Mytilida; Mytilidae. The record is from RNAcentral.